RNAcentral lists this long non-coding RNA (337 nucleotides) under Solanum tuberosum (potato). Its description in RNAcentral is "long non-coding RNA (STUB_LNC009952)". Lineage: Eukaryota; Viridiplantae; Streptophyta; Magnoliopsida; Solanales; Solanaceae. The record is from RNAcentral.
UGCAAAGUGUUUUAGGAAAACUUCAAUUUCUUUGUUACUCUUAUUGUGCGUAAGGUGUGAUCUAAAUUCCUCGUUCUAACUCGACGUUUUGUGCUUUUAGAUCAUGCCUCCUCGUAUAGCUAUCCCCAGAAAUGUGAAUGCUAGGAAUGCUAACGCAGCUCCUCCAGUCCCAGAUCAGGAUGUUUCGAAUGCUGAAUUGCAGAACGCUAUUAAAUUGUUGGCUCAGAGUGUGACCAACCAGAACAAUCAGCAGGCUCCAGUUUCGGCGAAUGUUAAUGUUGGGUCAGCGGCAGCUAGAGUUCAUGAUUUCGUUAGGAUGAAUCCGUUUGAGUUUUUA